GUGAGGAAUUUUCCGCAAUGGGCGAAAGCCUGACGGAGCAAUGCCGCGUGAAGGAUGAAGGCCUAUGGGUUGUAAACUUCUUUUCUCAGAAAAGAAUUAUGACGGUAUCUGAGGAAUAAGCAUCGGCUAACUCUGUGCCAGCAGCCGCGGUAAGACAGAGGAUGCAAGCGUUAUCCGGAAUGAUUGGGCGUAAAGCGUCUGUAGGUUGUUUAAAAAGUAUUCUGUCAAAGAUUAGGGCUUAACCCUAGAUAGGCAGAAUAAACUUUUAAGCUAGAGUGUGGUAGAGGCAGAGGGAAUUCCCGGUGGAGCGGUGAAAUGCGUAGAUAUCGGGAGGAACACCAAAGGCGAAGGCACUCUGCUGGGCCAAUACUAACACUGAGAGACGAAAGCGAGGGGAGCAAAUGGGAUUAGAAAACCCGGUAGUCC
Molecule: ribosomal RNA, 426 nt
Filed under: uncultured bacterium
Lineage: Bacteria
Description: bacterial SSU rRNA
Rfam family: Bacterial small subunit ribosomal RNA
Source: RNAcentral